This 230-nucleotide long non-coding RNA is filed under the name Elaeis guineensis (African oil palm). Its description in RNAcentral is "long non-coding RNA (EGUI_LNC009612)". Lineage: Eukaryota; Viridiplantae; Streptophyta; Magnoliopsida; Arecales; Arecaceae. The record is from RNAcentral.
UAUAUGGCUAUCUUAGUGGUGAUGUUCAAGCUACAUUGAUUGAGUUGGGAGUCUUUUUUCGAGAACUGUGUUGUCAAAAAUUGAAGAUUAACUUGAAAAGUUUGAGAAGGAUAUUGUGUUCAUUCUUUGUAAGUUAGAAAAAAUCUUUCCACCAUCAUUUUUUGAUGUUAUGGUGCAUCUGGUUGUUCAUCUCCUAAAGAAAGUUCUUUUGGUCGGAUCAGUAUAUUAUC